GACGAACGCUGGCGGCGUGCUUAACACAUGCAAGUCGAACGGUGAAAGCGGAGCUUGCUCCGCUGGAUCAGUGGCGAACGGGUGAGUAACACGUGGGCAACCUGCCCCUCACUUCGGGAUAACUCCGGGAAACCGGGGCUAAUACCGGAUAUGACCUCCUUGGGCAUCCUUGGAGGUGGAAAGUUUUUCGGUGAGGGAUGGGCCCGCGGCCUAUCAGCUUGUUGGUGAGGUAGUGGCUCACCAGGGCGACGACGGGUAGCCGGCCUGAGAGGGCGAACGGCCAGAAUGGGAAUGAGCCACGGCUCAGACUCGUACGGGAGGCAGCAGUGGGGAAUAUUGCGCAAUGGGCGAAAGCCUGCCGCAGCAACGCCGCGUGCGGGAUGACGGCCUUCGGGUUGUAAACCGCUUUCAGCAGGGAAGAAGCCGCAAGGUGACGGUACCUGCAGAAGAAGCACCGGCUAACUACGUGCCAGCCGCCACCGUAA
RNAcentral lists this ribosomal RNA (485 nucleotides) under uncultured bacterium. RNAcentral describes it as "partial 16S ribosomal RNA". It matches the Rfam family "Bacterial small subunit ribosomal RNA", at positions 28 to 523 of the family's 1533-position model. The record is from RNAcentral.